Long non-coding RNA from Neltuma alba, 365 nucleotides. RefSeq lists it as uncharacterized. The record is from RefSeq and is a predicted model, not a curated record. NCBI's taxonomy places the organism in Eukaryota, Viridiplantae, Streptophyta, Magnoliopsida, Fabales, Fabaceae. The transcript has 2 exons.
GACACAUCACAUGGCCCAAAACCAAAACUAUGUUAGGUCUGCAGAAAUCUGAUACUAACCUGACCCGAGUUAUUUAAACACACUGAAUAUCCUUAAACAGGACUCCCAGACAUGUCAAAUUCUCGUUAAUAAAAUAACAAAACCUUUUUUCUUUUUUGGCAAAUAUGUCAAGAUUUCAAGCAUGAAUCCAUCUGCAGGUUAUCCAGAGGAUCAGGUGCAAUUUACGCACUGCAAAAUAUAUUAUAGAGGGUGGAGAUAAACUAAUUGAAUGGAUACUUUUUUUGUAAGCUUUAAGAAAAGGUAACGCCCAAGUCCGGCAGACAUUUAAACCAAAAAAAAAAAAUCUGCAUGCCAAGCAUUAGAAU